This is a long non-coding RNA of Clupea harengus (Atlantic herring), 616 nucleotides long. NCBI's taxonomy places the organism in Eukaryota, Metazoa, Chordata, Actinopteri, Clupeiformes, Clupeidae. The record is from Ensembl.
CUCCUGAGUCUUUUCAGCUGCAGUGUUCACUGUUGUCAUCCCAUCAUAAUUUUUCACCCAGUGUCCACCAGUGCUAUUGCGAAAUUCCUAACCAACGUUCAGUAUGAUGUUGCGCUCAACAACCGUACCAGCGAAGAGUUCCAAAAUCUGGAAAAACAGAUUAUUGAUGUGAUUGAUGAAAUAUCCCAAACCAGAUAUGGAAAACUCUAUAAAAGAACAAUUGUUAUUGGUUUCAGGUAAGCUAGCUAUGGCUUUAACCUUUCCCUAUGGCAAUGUGGGUAGGUUUUAUCAGGACGUAGAUACAGUGGUUUUAUUAGGACGUAGAUACAAUACAGUGGUUUUAUAAGGACGUAGAUACAGUGGUUUUAUUAGGUCGUAGAUACAGUGGUUUUAUAAGGACGUAGAUAGAGUGGUUUUAUAAGGACGUAGAUACAGUGGUUUUAUCAGGACGUAGUUAGAGUGGUUUUAUCAGGACGUAGAUACAGUGGUUUUAUUAGGUCGUAGAUACAGUGGUUUUAUAAGGACGUAGAUACAGUGGUUUUAUCAGGACGUAGUUAGAGUGGUUUUAUCAGGACGUAGAUACAGUGGUUUUAUUAGGACGUAGAUACAGUGGUUU